This is a long non-coding RNA of Aquila chrysaetos chrysaetos, 460 nucleotides long. RefSeq lists it as uncharacterized. The transcript has 2 exons. The record is from RefSeq and is a predicted model, not a curated record. Lineage: Eukaryota; Metazoa; Chordata; Aves; Accipitriformes; Accipitridae.
ACAGGAGAUCUGUAUGAAAAGAUACUGGAGGAUGCUGGAGGUCCAGUACCAGCCCAGAUCAGAGAGUUACGGCAACCAGGGGAGAUCCACAUGGCGGAAGCUGGGAAGAAAGACCCGAGACCUCCUGACAGCAGUGAUUGGUUUUAUCCGCUCAGCCGCCGAUCAGACCACCGCCGAGGUGCUGAGAAGGCUGAGUGCUGCCCGACGGGCGGUCUAAGACUCCGCUUAAAACCCUGCCAACGGUGGAGCUGAGCCACGAGCAGAAGCAGCUGUGACAGAGCCAGCCCUUUCCUGCCCCUGCUCCUGCAACCUCAGAGGCAGCCACCCCACUGCCGCGCCGACCUGCUUCGGUGCGUGCGUGGCGGGACGUGACAUUCAUGCCUGAGAACGCUUCACAGAUGUGAAACGCUGGCACCAUUGAGAUGAUGCUUAAGCACAAAAUUAAGCAUUUGAAAUAUUA